UUUUUUAUUUAUUUUUACGGUCUGUCAACAAAAAUAGAGCUACAAUCUAUCUGCAAUAUUAAAGCUGAUUUAGCACCCUAAAUUUAAAAAAGUAUGUGUGUAGAUUUAGAUUAGUGUCAGCCUUCAGCCUAGGUUAACUAACGGACAUGGUUUGAAAAUGAAGUCGAAACAUUUUCACAACUAUAUUAAUCGUUUUCCAGGAACAUCGAUUUUCUAUUUUAGUUCGGUACCAACAAGUUAGCUAGCUUGUAGCUAACGUUAGAACCCUAGAUAGCUAGUUAUCACCUUGCAAAAAAUAAUCCAGCAAGAUUAGGCUAGCUAAGUAGCAAAUUAACAAGGGAAACCGAGACCACUCGGCGUAGGUAGAGACCAAUAGCGAUAUUGAUCUUUGGUCGGGAGUCAAGCCUGCAAUUUUUUGAAAAUGGACGAGGCGUCCCCGGCAUCUCUGACAGACCUGUGUCUGUCCUACGUGAGUGGGAACCUGGAGAAGUUCUGUGUGAAGCACGCCGAUGGAUCUCUCUGUCUCAGAGACUCUUUACUGUUCCCCCAGGAGCUAGCUGACCAGCUGUUAGCUAAAAUGGCCACUGAAGGUCUGUUGAAUGACAGUACAGUGGGAGUGUUUCGUAGCUGUGAGUACCUAAGGCUGCGUCGUGCGUGUAUCCGGACUGCUCGUAUCUCUGCCGAGGCAUUCCAGAGAGCACUCUGUCCUCACCGCCUGCUGGAGCUGGACGCUGCCAGGGUCAACGCUGACCUCACCAUCUCUGACAUACUACAGGGACUGGCCUCCAACAAACACUGCCAGGAGAGCUUACAGCGGUUGGUCCUGACAGGUCUAACCAUGUCCUCUCUGGAGGAACCAUCUCAUCACCGCUUCAGCUCUCUCCAGGGGCUCCGCUCCCUCUCCCUGGCCAAUGUGGACUUCUACGAUGCUGGGCUGGCUGACGUGUGUUCCCUACCCCGCCUGGAGAGCCUGGACCUGUCCAACACCUCAGUAACCAACCUCAGUCCUCUACUGGGCCUCAGGGAGAGGCUGAGGUCACUAACACUACACCAGCUGAAGAGGCUGGAGAUGAGCACCGCACAGCUAUUGGCUGUCAUUGGACAACUGGAGGCACUGCAGCACCUGGACAUCAGUGAUGAUAAACAGUUCACAUCAGACGUGGCUCGUCAGUUGCUGGGCGAACCUGGGAUCCUGCCUGCUCUGGUCUCUCUGGAUGUGUCUGGACGCAAACAGGUGACAGAUGCAGCGGUCAAGGCGUUUGUAGAGGAACGUCCAGGGAUGACCUUUGUUGGUCUGCUGGCUACAGAUGCUGGCUUCUCUGACUUCCUCAAUGGAGAGGGCAUCCUCAAGGUGACAGGAGAGGCAAAUGAGACUCAGAUCUGUGAGUCGCUGCUUCGCUACAGUGAGAGAGACGGCUUUGUCAGAGAGGCUCUGUUUCAUCUGUUCAGUCUCACUCACGUCAUGGAGAAACCACGGCCUGACAUACUCAAGUUGGUAAUACUGGGGAUGAAGAACCACCCUGCCACCCUGAACGUCCAGUUGGCAGCCAGUGCGUGUGUGUUUAACCUGACCAAGCAGGACCUGGCAGCGGGCAUGCCUGUUAGACUGCUUGGCACAGUCACUCAACUACUGCUGGAGGCCAUGAGGACCUUCCCUAACCACCAACAGUUGCAAAAGAAUUGCCUUCUCUCUCUGUGCAGUGACCGCAUACUGCAGGAGGUCCCCUUCAACAGGUUUGAGGCUGCUAAGCUGGUGAUGCAGUGGCUAUGUAACCAUGAGGACCAGAACAUGCAGAGGAUGGCUGUGGCUAUCAUUUCUAUACUGGCUGCCAAGUUAUCUACAGAGCAGACAGCCCAGCUGGGAGCAGAGCUGUUCAUAGUGAAGCAACUCCUCCACAUUGUGCGUCAGAAGGCGACUCAGGGCGGGGUGGAUGCCACCCUCAAGUUCACACUGAGCGCGCUCUGGAACCUCACCGACGAAUCACCAACCACCUGCCGCCAUUUUAUAGAGAACCAGGGACUGGAGCUGUUCAUUAAAGUUCUGGAGUCGUUCCCCUCGGAGUCUUCCAUCCAGCAGAAGGUGUUGGGGCUGCUGAACAACAUAGCAGAGGUCGGGGAGCUGCAUGAGGAGCUGAUGGUUCAGGGCUUUCUGGAUCACAUCUGCUCCCUGCUCCACAGCCCUGAGGUGGAGGUGUCCUACUUCGCUGCUGGGAUACUGGCCCACCUCACCUCCAGAGGAAAGGCUGCAUGGACACUCAGUAUCACACUGAGGUCUGACCUGCUAGAACAACUGCACUCUGCCAUCCUGAAGUGGCAGACCCCAGAGUGUGAGAUGGUGGCUUACAGGUCCUUUAACCCUUUUUUCCCCCUGUUGGAGUGUUUCCACACCCCAGGAGUCCAGCUGUGGGCAGCCUGGGCCAUGCAGCAUGUUUGCAGCAAGAACGGUGAAACACACACACUCCAUAUAGAGCUUAAUAGUUUUCUACCUGUCCUACGUUUCAGUAUAUUCUGCUCUGUGCGUCAUCAAUGUGAGUGUACUCUCUCUGGACUCCUGCAGCCCCUCGGUACUGCAGUAUGCUGCUGGAGGAGGGAGGUCUGCAGCAGCUGGAAAAGGUCCAGACACACCCCGACACACACGCAGAUGUCAUGCGAUUGACUGAUGGCAUCCUGGAGAGCCUGCAGCGCCACCAGGCUCGCACCGGCCAGACCACACAAACACCCCCACACACACACAAAGAGAGUGAUACACCCUGAUCAGAACCCAUUCCACCUGUAAUGUCAAGACAAGAGUCCAGGAAGAGGUGUGUGUGUGUUCACACAUGUUCAUUAAGCCUGUCGCAUGCUUCCCAGUCGAAACAGUUUGCGGCAAAUUUUUACGUUUCUGAUUAUAUUGGAGUUCGCAGGUUUUUUUUCCAGUUGUUCGCGCACCAAAUGUGUUCUUGAGGCAAGCCAAAGUCAACAGUACUACGGGAUUCUUCAUUGAAGUGUUUGUCAUUCAGUGAACCUAGUUUGAAUGCACAUUUUUCACUUGAGAAAUACUGCACCAAAUUUAUCAAAAUGAUUUACAGAUUCCUUGAUUCUUCGUAGAUUAAUUCUGACUAUUGAGCAGGUGGCUAUGUUGCUACGGCGUUUCAAGAGGGAGAUUUUUCAAGCAAAAGUCUUUAAAGGGAGUAUGCGAGGCACAGACGUUUGCUUCCCCGAGCCGAGUUCUACUUGGCGUAAACCAAACCUAGUAUGUGGGCGCCUUUAAACUGGGGUGAGGAAAGACCCUGUCACAAGGUGGUGCUGUAAAGUGAAUGAGAGAACACAUACCUUGCUGUUAUUUAUUUUCUUGUUUGGUUCAAAAGCAACAGUAUGACUAAGUGUACUACUGUUGGGAUAAGGAAAUUAUGAUUGAUUUAACUAAAGAAAAAUAAACCUUAAGACAAGCAUGAGUUGUUGGUUAACAGCGUCCAUAGCAUGAAUAGAAAACCAGUUGAACUAUAUGGUUUAACUGUUUCUUUCCUGUUGGACUCUGAAAGGGCCACUAAUCAACAUCAAUUAACACCAUUGACAUCGAUUCAUGGUUGGAGUUCUGCAGGCGCACCAAGUUUGGAUUCAGCCCCUAAAGGGCACUACAUACCGUACGCAAACAGCGAUGGGGCGUCAUAUACGGGCCAUUCCCAAAUUGGAUCCGCACAAAAGUAUGUAGAAGUACCUAGAAAACAACGCUGUUGCUGCGUUUGCGUAAAGUGUGUAGCAGCCUUAAAGCUCAGUUCUGGGGUUGAGAGUCCAGCCCCUCGGGCUGAUUAGCUAAUAUAUGCACAUGACGGUGUGAUUUCCCAGCAUGCUCAAGUUUGUCUGAAUGAUCUUUUGAUUCACCCAGUUUGUAGCAGGACUAUUCAAAUCCAGACAUGGAGGUCCACAAUACAGUCCAUAGUUAUUUUGUCUGUGGUAGUUAAUUGAUCAUUAUAAAUGUAUGAAUUCAUUUAUGGAUACAUUUUUGCCACAGUGUAUACUCACCAGGAGUUGCAGGUCUGAAUCAGUCCCUGAUUUAGAGGGUUAGGAUGAAAACCAGCAGUAUUGUGGACCUCCAGGACAAGAUUUGAGUUCUCCUGGUUUAUAAAAAUUAUGUUAAUAGUAAUGUUGUUUCCCUUGUGGACAAAAAUGGCAAUAAAUAUACUGGUCAACAUUAAGACAGAAUACAUAUACGACUUUGCACAGUAGGAAGAAAGAACUCAAGAAAAUAAGUUAUGUGCUUCCAUGGUUGCUGGUCUGUGUGCAUGCUUGCGUAUUUGGAUCAGUGUAUAGGUGAGUGUGUGUUUGAUGCUAGGGGGAGUGUUUGUACUGACAUGGCCCACAUGACUCACAGCGCUGGGAGAGCUGUAACUUCCCUGGUCUGGAAAGGAGGCCGUUCGUUAAUGCAAUAUUCACUCAGAAAUUGUGACGGGUUUUAUGGUUUCUCAAUGUUUUUGUUUUUUUCCCCUCUGGGUUUGAGACCUCGUUUGGAUUUGAAAAUCCAACUGUUGUAGUUGAAGGGGGUGACGCUCGGGGGCUGUGCAUCUGGGUGUUUGAGUGAGAAAGAGGAGAACCAACCAGUAAAAUCACAGCCCCCUUCAUUAUCGACACAUUGUGCCGUCAACCUCAAAGAGCCAUUCCAGACUCUGAAGUCAGGAGGACUUAGAGUUAAGUGCUAGCCACUAUAGCCAGACAAGUGUUUGUAGUUUCUCAUCUCCCAUAUUCAAGUACAGUCUUUAAUGAUUGGUUUAAAGUGUUGGAAACAAUAUAAUAUGUUUUGUUGUUUAUUUCAAAAGGAGGUACAAAAGAAAACGUAGGAGGCAAAACUGAGUUGAAUUCUGCGAUUAAGGGGAGAGGCAGCGAGAGUAGCGCAAUCCCAAAAAGACGCCUAUCCCAGGGGUGUUGAACUCAUUUUGCCCCAGGGGCUGCAUUCGCUUUUUGAGGGCCGCACUAAAAAUGUUAUUUCCUUGCCGUCAAAAUGACAAAACUGUCUAUCUGCAACGGUCUGUACAUUGCACCCUCCUGAGCAUGAGCCUGGUUGUGACUAAUAAUGAUAUAUGCUACUGAUCUCGUCUUCAUUCUCUAUGCAAUGGCGGUUGAAACUACAUUUCAUGCCUGCUGGCAAAUCUCCACAUGCUUGAUUUCAAAUCAGCCUACACAUUGUAUGUGCAUGCUACCACUGCAUGGGUCAAAGUAUCUAUUCUCUAUGGCAUUAAGAGAAAUGCACAGAACAAACUGAACUGUAAACUAAAGUCAGUAUUUUCUACAUUUAUACUGACAGAAUAUUACAUUUGAGUUGUCCUCUCACUAUGAUUGAAGCUGUGGGAAAGUUUAGUCUUGUCUGUGCAUUUACCCUAAUGUGACAGUUUCCUCUUUCUGUAUGGGUAUUUCAUGAAACGGAGUGGGGUGUCUCUAAAGGGAAGGCCAUUUGCUAAGAUGCCAUUUUUCUGCUGAGGGUCAUUUUUUCAUGUUUCUGAAAUAAAGAAUGUACACCCCCA
Molecule: RNA transcript, 5495 nt
Organism: Oncorhynchus kisutch (coho salmon)
Lineage: Eukaryota; Metazoa; Chordata; Actinopteri; Salmoniformes; Salmonidae
Gene name: protein zyg-11 homolog
Exons: 17
Source: RefSeq, a predicted model, not a curated record